AACGAACGCUGGCGGCAUGCCUAACACAUGCAAGUCGAACGAGACCUUCGGGUCUAGUGGCGCACGGGUGCGUAACGCGUGGGAACCUGCCCUUAGGUUCGGAAUAACUCCCCGAAAGGGGUGCUAAUACCGGAUAAUGUCUUCGGACCAAAGAUUUAUCGCCUUUGGAUGGGCCCGCGUUGGAUUAGCUAGUUGGUAGGGUAAAAGCCUACCAAGGGGACGAUCCAUAGCUGGUCUGAGAGGAUGAUCAGCCACACUGGGACUGAGACACGGCCCAGACUCCUACGGGAGGCAGCAGUGGGGAAUAUUGGACAAUGGGCGAAAGCCUGAUCCAGCAAUGCCGCGUGAGUGAUGAAGGCCUUAGGGUUGUAAAGCUCUUUUACCCGGGAUGAUAAUGACAGUACCGGGAGAAUAAGCUCCGGCUAACUCCGU
Molecule: ribosomal RNA, 432 nt
Filed under: uncultured bacterium
Lineage: Bacteria
Description: partial 16S ribosomal RNA
Rfam family: Bacterial small subunit ribosomal RNA
Source: RNAcentral